RNAcentral lists this ribosomal RNA (406 nucleotides) under uncultured bacterium. Its description in RNAcentral is "partial 16S ribosomal RNA". It matches the Rfam family "Bacterial small subunit ribosomal RNA", at positions 29 to 526 of the family's 1533-position model. The record is from RNAcentral.
AUUGAACGCUGGCGGCAGGCCUAACACAUGCAAGUCGAGCGAGCGGCGGACGGGUGAGUACUGUCUGGGAAACUGCCUGAUGGAGGGGGAUAACUACUGGAAACGGUAGCUAAUACAGCAUACCAUCAGAUGUGCCCAGAUGGGAUGAGCUAGUAGGUGGGGUAACGGCUCACCUAGGCGACGAUUCCUAGCGGGUCUGAGAGGAUGACCAGCCACACGGGAACUGAGAUACGGUCCAGACUCCUACGGGAGGCAGCAGGGGGGAAUAUUGCACAAUGGGCGAAAGCCUGAUGCAGCCAUGCCGCGUGUGUGAAGAAGGCCUUCGGGUUGUAAAGCACUGUCAGCGGGGAGGCGUUACCCACAGAAAAAGCACCGGCUAACUCCGUGCCAGCAGCCGCGGUAAUUC